RNAcentral lists this long non-coding RNA (454 nucleotides) under Homo sapiens (human). Its description in RNAcentral is "HSALNT0342946". The record is from RNAcentral. Lineage: Eukaryota; Metazoa; Chordata; Mammalia; Primates; Hominidae.
GUAGAAUACAUCCUCUCCAAAUCCUGUGGAAGCUGGUGCCUCCUGGGAAAAGGAAAUCGGGGGAUAUCAGAAAACUUCACACCUGCAAGUCAGGAAGCAACUUCUUUCUUAUCUGGUAUGGCCUGUGCUUCUUUAAAAAUACCACCACUCGGCCGGGCGCGGUGGCUCACGCCUGUAAUCCCAGAACUUUGGGAGGCCAAGGCCGGACGAAUCAUGAGGUCAAGAGAUCGAGACCAUCCUGACCAACAUGGUGAAACUCUGUCUCUACUAAAGAUACAAAAAAAUUAGCUGGGCGUGGUGGCACAUGCCUGUAGUCCCACCUACUUGGGAGGCUGAGGCAGGAGAAUUGCUUGAACCUGGGAGGCAGAGGGUGCAAUGAGCCAAGAUCGUGCCACUGCACUCCAGCCUGGCAAAACAGUGAAACCUUGUCUCAAAAUAAAAAAAUAUAUAAAAA